CUCCGUGUCUGGCUCUCCGCAGCACGGCUCUGCCCGGGAGGAGCCCCAGCCCUCCACGGUCGCUCAGGAAGCCGGCUCCCGGGCCCUGCUCGUUUCCGGCCCGGUGCAGCACCUCGACCGGCAGGGCUACCCGAGGGCUGGCGCACCGUGGCGCUCCUGCACAUUUGACCAGCGUGGGACUUCCCUGUGGUCCAGUGGGUAAGACUCUGCGCUCCACUGCAGGUUGGAUGGGUUGGAUCCCUGGUUGGAGAACCAAGAUCCCACGUGCGGUGACUAAGAGUUUGUAUGCCGAAAGGAAGACGGAAGAUACCGUGGUGGGCUGCGACUAAGACCCAGGGCAGUCAAACGCAGAAAUAUUUCUUAAAAAGAGUGACCCCUUCCUCUUCUCCCUCCUCACCACACCCUGGGGAGGCAGCCAGGAAAAUGACAGAGGCGUUGGGGGGUUUGGUGAGGUGUGCAGGCUCAGACAGAGGACCACGGAGGUGCCUGCGGUCUGGGCCUGGUCUCUACCCAUGCUGCCUCGCUCCUUCCCUGGCCCAGCACCGCCUCAUCCGCAGGGCAAGUGCCCAUCCGCCCACAGCACAAGCCAUGCCGCCCUGCUUGCAGAGCCUGACUGCCUGCAGUGGGCGGGCUCCUGCCGGUGUCCAUGCGUGAGCCUGCCUUUAACGCCCGCAAACACCCUCUGAGGUCACAACUCUUGCGGCCCCACUGACCGAGGGAGAAACUGAGGCUCAAGGGGUCAGUCAAGCUUUCCUCAGCCCCCCAGUCACCAAAGGGGUCCUGUCCAAGUCUGCUGCUGGACUGCAAGGGGUGAAGCGAGGUCUGGGAGACACGGUCAAGCCAAAGGGCCCCCCCUUUCCCUCCCUCCAUUCCCCCCUUCCUUUCUUCCAUCCAUCCACCAUCCUGCUUUCGCAAACCCCACUGCAGGAUCUCUGUGCUUAGCGAAUAAGGAGACUAACUCAGCACCUGCCCCCAUCCUCUGCCUGGACCAGGUGGGGUGCUCAGCCAACAUUUGAUGAGGGCCAGGGCCGAAUGCCUGGACCGCAGGUUCUGCCAGGUGUCCGUGGGGGGAUGGACCAGGCCUCCUCUGGCUUCCGGCUGCACAGGAAGACGGUGGCUGGGAGGGGCCCAGAACAGAGAGGGAUGCAGAUGCCAAAGAUGGAGGAUGGGUCUUUCCUGGCAACAGUGGGAGCUAAGAGUCAAGAUGCUGCUGCUCGUGGCCGCGGGGUCCUCAGGAGACAGCUGCUUGGGUAUCCCAGUGACGCCCAGGUGGUCAGAGCCCGUGGGCUGGCUCUGGCGGCACCAGGCUUGGGUCGCCUGGGGCCUCAUGGAACCCGGGCGGUUUCCCCCUCCGGAGAGGACAGUGCCAGCCUCCCGACUGUGGUGAGGAUUCAGGAACAAGGCCUAUCGUGUGCUGGUGGGAAUGGGCCAGUCACCCUCAGGGGGCACAAGGGGGCGAGGGCAGCGGGGCAAGGACCGCCGAGACAGAGACCAGCCCAGCAUGGCCAGGGGCAGCCGGAGAGCUGGAGGCUGGCACCCGCUGCCCCUGCCCACUGGGGGGGGUGUGGACCAGUGGGCCCGGGAGUCGACCUGGAGAAGGUAUACACCGCCCCAGGAUGGGGUGGUUCUGGGUGCAGUCCUGUGACCUGCAGCAGGAAGCCCCAAGGGAAGGGGCCGAGGGCGCGGCAGGUCCUUCCAUCUGGAGUCGGGGUCCCUGCUCUGGGCAGCCCGGGCUCUCCUGCCCAGCUGGGAUGGGCUCCUCUCCCAGUUAGCACCACACCCCUGGCUCCCGGCCCAAGGCCACACUGGGAGCUUGCUACCGUGCUCCUUUGCCAUAUCUGUGUUUAACGCCUAUGUCUGCCCUAGUCCAGAGGGUUGAGAAGAGUCGGACGUGACUUAGCAUGACUGAGCGCGCACACGUGCUGACCGUAAACCGUGAACUGCACCAGGACGCCCGCCACCCCGAUUGGCUGGCCUCGUCUCCUCCAGCCACACGUUCACCGGGCCCGGACUUGGUCCUGGGCACUGUUUCAGAUGCUGAGAAGACUUUGGAGAAUGGGCAGAAAACACACUGAUAACCCACAAAUAAGAGAAGCAGGCUGGAAAGCUGGGGCGACUGCGGCCACAGAGAUCAGAAGCCUAAAGCCACCGGUGGGCUCUCAGGAUGCAGCCCGGGACCCUCAGCAAGGUCGAGCGCUCCAAGCAGCUAAGGGCGUGGGUGGCAGAGGGCAGAUGAGCAAAAACAGCCCAAGACCCCAGACCCCAUGGCCACCCAGCCCAGCGGCCACAGACACGGAGCACGGGGCUGCAGGUGUGGGGCGGAGCCAGACACAAGGGCCACGGGACCCCUCUCCAGAUUGGGGAACCAGGGCAGUGGGGCAGUGGGGCCCCUGAUAGACAGACGGCUGUCUAACCCAGAGGUUCUCAAACUUACCAGCAGCACACCUUUUUUUUUCCUUUGGCCACACCACAAGGCUUGUGGGAUCUUAGUUCCCCUGACCCGGGAUUGAACCUGUGCCCCCUGCGGCGGAAGCACACCAGAGUCCCAGCCACUGGACCAUCAGGGAAUCCCCAGUCUGCCUCUUUAAAACACUUGUAAACCAA
Molecule: long non-coding RNA, 2604 nt
Organism: Bubalus bubalis (water buffalo)
Lineage: Eukaryota; Metazoa; Chordata; Mammalia; Artiodactyla; Bovidae
Exons: 2
Source: RefSeq, a predicted model, not a curated record